GCUCGUUUAGCUCAGUGGUA
This 20-nucleotide small nuclear RNA is filed under the name Phaeodactylum tricornutum CCAP 1055/1. RNAcentral describes it as "snRNA PTsRNA00051b". The record is from RNAcentral. Lineage: Eukaryota; Bacillariophyta; Bacillariophyceae; Surirellales; Neidiaceae.